UACGGGGGGGGCAAGCGUUGUUCGGAAUUACUGGGCGUAAAGGGCUCGUAGGCUGCCAACUGAGUCAGACGUGAAAUCCCUCGGCUUAACCGGGGAACUGCGUCUGAUACUGGAUGGCUUGAGAUCGGGAGAGGGAUGCGGAAUUCCAGGUGUAGCGGUGAAAUGCGUAGAUAUCUGGAGGAACACCGGUGGCGAAGGCGGCAUCCUGGACCGACACUGACGCUGAGGAGCGAAAGCCAGGGGAGCAAACGGG
Molecule: ribosomal RNA, 253 nt
Filed under: uncultured bacterium
Lineage: Bacteria
Description: partial 16S ribosomal RNA
Rfam family: Bacterial small subunit ribosomal RNA
Source: RNAcentral